GUUUUGUUUUGAGGAAGAUUAGCUCUGGGCUAACAUCUGCUGCCAAUCCUCUUCUUUUUUUUAUUUGCUGAGAAAGACUGACCCUGAGCUAACAUCCGUGCCCAUCUUCCUCUACUUUAUAUGUGGGACGCCUGCCACAGCAUGGCUUGCCAAGCGAUGCCAUGUCCGCACCCAGGAUCCAAACCAGCGAGCCCCGGGCCACUGAAGCUGAACGUGCGAACUUAACCGCUGCACCACUGGGCCGGCCCCUUUCUCUUUGUUUUUAAGAACAAGGUCUUACCAACGGUUAGGAAAACUCUCCCAGGACAGCCCAUCAGGGGGGCUGACAGAGAAGUGACCAGGGAGUAAACAAGGCGGGGCCAAGCAGAGAAAGCCAAGUCGGCUCCCUGACCAACCACACAGACGCGCCCUUCUGGUCCCCGCCUCCAGCGUCCCUGUGCUGAGGACCACCAGUCCGGGCACACCUGAGGCCUCCGCCUUUUUCCACUACGAAGCACCUGUGGGAGGAAGCAGGUGGCGUGAGACUCAGGGCUCCAGGCCCCAGGUCUGUCCCCUAGAUGGUGGCCCUCGGGUCCCUGAACGACCCUCAUCCCUGGGAGCAUGCAGAGCCCUUGGGAUGAACUCUAUCCUCAUUCAUUCAUUCAUUCAUUUGGCAAAUAGUUCCUGAGUGCCUGUGGUGUGACAGUUCCCGAGGAUGUGACACCAAGCCCCUGGGGUACGGAGCCUGCAUUCUGCAGAGGAAGAGAGACAGCAAGCAAUAAACACUCAGAUAGAGAAAAGAGGCCGGGUUGGGGGGGUGCUGGAUACAGCGGAGGGGGGACUUCCUCUAACUCAGGUGGUGAGGGAACCCUCUCUGAAGGACAGCUGUGGCUUUCUUCCUCUGCGGCUAAGGUGACUCCUGAGAACCAGGGGGCUUUACCCUCUGAGGCUGCGCAGCAGCCCCCCUCUCCUUCCCUGGUGCCAGCAGCCAUCCCCCGUCGCAUCCAGCACAGGACUGCCCCACGUUGCCCCCAUCAGCCAUGCACUGUGUUCUCGAGGCACCAGAAGGACAGACAGGCAGCUGGGCAUCAACCCAUGGGGACAAAGAGAGGACAUGAGGCAGCAGCCCCCCAGGACCCGGGUGCUUUGGGGGGCCCCAAGAUUGGUUUAUGAAACACCACAAAGCACCAGCCUGGAUGUGUGUUUACCGACUGGCAGUCCACAAGUCAAGGAAUAUAGCUCAGCUUUGGAAAGAGAGCCGUGUGACAUGGGGCCGAUUAUUUAAGCUCUUUAAGCCUCACUUUCAGAACGUGGAAACUGAGAUGCAAAAAGUAGUCACCUCGGGGCUGGCCCCGUGGCUGAGUGGUUAAGUUCGCGCGCUCCGUUGCAGGCGGCCCAGUGUUUCGUUGGUUCGAAUCCUGGGCGCGGACAUGGCACUGCUCAUGAGACCACGCUGAGGCGGCGUCCCACAUGCCACAACUAAAAAAAAGGACCCACAACAAAGAAUAUACAACUAUGUACCGGGGGGCUUUGGGGAGAAAAAGGGGAAAAAAUAAAAAAAUCUUU
RNAcentral lists this long non-coding RNA (1545 nucleotides) under Equus asinus (donkey). Its description in RNAcentral is "lncRNA (ENSEASG00005036299.1)". Lineage: Eukaryota; Metazoa; Chordata; Mammalia; Perissodactyla; Equidae. The record is from RNAcentral.